This 243-nucleotide ribosomal RNA is filed under the name uncultured bacterium. Its description in RNAcentral is "partial 16S ribosomal RNA". It matches the Rfam family "Bacterial small subunit ribosomal RNA", at positions 29 to 300 of the family's 1533-position model. The record is from RNAcentral.
AGCGAACGCUGGCGGCAGGCCUAACACAUGCAAGUCGAACGGAUCCUUCGGGAUUAGUGGCGGACGGGUGAGUAACACGUGGGAACGUGCCUUUUGGUUCGGAAUAACUCAGGGAAACCUGAGCUAAUACCGAAUGUGCCCUCGGGGAAGGAUUAUCGCCAUAGAGCGGCCCGCCGUCUGAUUAGCUAGUUGGUAGGGUAAAGGGACCUACCAAGGCUACGAUCAGUAGCUGGUCUGAGAGGA